Molecule: long non-coding RNA, 746 nt
Filed under: Oryctolagus cuniculus (rabbit)
Lineage: Eukaryota; Metazoa; Chordata; Mammalia; Lagomorpha; Leporidae
Description: lncRNA (ENSOCUG00000039369.1)
Source: RNAcentral
GAACAAAAAUGCCACAGCAGAAGGAAAAUGGUGUCCUCCUUCCUGCAAACAUACCCUGGAAAGUUAUUUGCUGUUUUUUUUUUUUUUUUUAAGACAAUAUGCCUAUUGGAUAAAAAUAUAAGGAAAAUAUGUUAGUAUUAGUUGACCUCAGAGGAUGCCAAGGAAAAAUUUGAUGGAAAAUGUUAUUUUCUGUGAUAACAACAGAAACUUUCCUUGAGAGAAGGAUCAGUUUAUUCAUUUGAAACUGACAUGGUGUGAAUAAACACUUCACACUGAGAUAGUUCUUUAAGAUUUCACUGAAUUCCAGUGAGAAAAAAGAAAAUAACGUGAAGCAAGCUUUCUCAAAGUGUGGUCCCCAACUAGCAAUGAUAUCAUCACAUGAAAACUUGUCUAAAAGAUCCUCAAGCCCACCAACGCUUCCUCCAAGAAUCUUCAUGGACAGCCCCUGUAAGGUUGGCAAGCAGGCUGAAGUCACAACUGUCUUUAGCUGCGUUCACCACAGAAGAGCAAAGCGAAGAGGUGUUGCCACACUGACUCUAUUGGCAACCGUGUGUUGUAUGAAAUCCAAAGAUCUUCACAGAAAGGGCAAGAGAGAAGAGAAGGAUAGCAAUGAAGUCACCAAAACCAAAAAGUAUGGAUGGAAAGAGAGGGAAAAAUGAAUUAUCAGAAAUAAUGAAUUUGUAAGUUAAACCUUAAAAUCUAGAGAGAAGAAAAAAACUAGUUAAUAAAUUGAAAAUUCUAUUCCA